This 826-nucleotide long non-coding RNA is filed under the name Octopus vulgaris (common octopus). Lineage: Eukaryota; Metazoa; Mollusca; Cephalopoda; Octopoda; Octopodidae. The record is from RNAcentral.
UAUACACUCACAUACAUAUGUACAUAAUACAUAAGCAUACUUACAGACAUGCAUACAUCUCACACACACACAUAUACUUACAUACAGGCACAGAGCCAUAUGUCCGUAAUAAACACAUACAUAUAUACUCACAGGGGAAAUGUAUAUUUAAAGAACUUUGCAUACACAUUGCAUGCAUGAAAACGUACUUUGAUGCUGAUUGAUAUCAAAAAAAUAUGAACACAUACAUAAUAUAGAGUAUAUAGAAAUAUAUACACACGCACAUACGUAUAUGGAUACAAAUGUAUAUAUAUGUACAUGGAAAUGUAAAUACAGACAGAUUUAUAUACCCAGCAUAUAUACGCACAUAUCAAAGCAGUGCUAACAAAUAUGAGAAUAAUUAUUUACUCACACACAAACCACAGACCACAUAUUGAACAUAGCUUGGUUGUGUGUGUGUAUAUAUAUAUAUAUAUAUACACACACACAUGCAUAUAUGUAUGUGUAUGUGUACAUGGAGGUAAUAUAUGUGUACAUACACAGAUAUGCAUAUAUCUGCACACAUACACACACAUACACACACACAUGUAUAUAUACAUGUAUGUGCAUAUAUAUAUAUAUGUAUAUAUAAAUGUAUACACCCCCCCCACACACACAUAUAUAUAUAUAUAUACAUAUAUACAUAUAUACAUAUAUACAUGUAUAUAUGUAUGUAUAUGUGUACAUGGAGGAAAUAUAUGUGUACAUACACAGAUAUGCAUAUAUCUGCACACAUACACACACACAUGUAUAUAUACACAUAUGUGCAUAUAUAUAUAUAUGUAUAUAUAAAUGUAUACACCCCACC